GAAAUGCGAUAAGUAGUGUGAAUUGCAGAAUUCAGUGAAUCAUCGAAUCUUUGAACGCACAUUGCGCCCUUUGGUAUUCCUUAGGGCAUGCCUGUUCGAGCGUCAUCUAAACCUUCAAGCCCUGCUUGGUGUUGGGUGCCUGUCCCUCCUCUGCGCGCGGACUCACCUCAAAUCCAUUGGCGGCCCCCGCGUCGGCCACGAGCGCAGCAGAAACGCGAACUCGUGAGCCCGUCCGGGCGGCUCCCAGAAGCUACACCCACCCAGUUUGACCUCGGAUCAGGUAGGGAUACCCGCUGAACUUAAGC
Molecule: unclassified non-coding RNA, 305 nt
Filed under: plant metagenome
Description: partial contains 5.8S ribosomal RNA, internal transcribed spacer 2, and large subunit ribosomal RNA
Rfam family: 5.8S ribosomal RNA (bases 1-105)
Source: RNAcentral